CGACUCCAUGAAGCUGGAUUCGCUAGUAAUCGCGCAUCAGCCACGGCGCGGUGAAUACGUUCCCGGGCCUUGUACACACCGCCCGCCAAGCCAUGGAAGCCGGGGGGUGCCUGAAGUGCGCUGCCGCAAGGAGCGCCCUAGGGUAAAACCGGUGACUGGGGCUAAGUCGUAACAAGGUAAC
This 181-nucleotide ribosomal RNA is filed under the name uncultured bacterium. RNAcentral's name for it is "partial 16S ribosomal RNA". It matches the Rfam family "Bacterial small subunit ribosomal RNA", at positions 1313 to 1500 of the family's 1533-position model. The record is from RNAcentral.